GUUGUUGCGGUUAAAACGUUCGUAGUUGAAUUUGUGCUUCAUACGGGUAGUACAACUAUAUAUUGUGGUAUGUACAUUACCUUAUGUAUGUAAGCGUAUUACCGGUGGAGUUCUUAUAUAUAAUUAAUACAAUGUAUUUUUUAUAUAUUCCUCCUAUUUAAACCUACUUCAGUGCUCUUCAUCGAGUGUUGUUGUGGGCCGGUACAAUUACUUUGAACAAAUUAGAGUGCUUAAAGCAGGCUCCAAAUGCCUGAAUAUUUUGUGCAUGGAAUAAUGAAAUAAGACCUCUGUUCUACUUUCAUUGGUUUUUAGAUCAAGAGGUAAUGAUUAAUAGAAGCAGUUUGGGGGCAUUAGUAUUACGACGCGAGAGGUGAAAUUCUUGGACCGUCGUAAGACUAACUUAAGCGAAAGCAUUUGCCAAAGAUGUUUUCAUUAAUCAAGAACGAAAGUUAGAGGUUCGAAGGCGAUCAGAUACCGCCCUAGUUCUAACCAUAAACGAUGCCAGCUAGCAAUUGGGUGUAGCUACUACUAUGGCUCUCUCAGUCGCUUCCCGGGAAACCAAAGCUUUUGGG
This 572-nucleotide ribosomal RNA is filed under the name Anastrepha ludens (Mexican fruit fly). RNAcentral's name for it is "SSU rRNA". It matches the Rfam family "Eukaryotic small subunit ribosomal RNA", at positions 609 to 1111 of the family's 1831-position model. Lineage: Eukaryota; Metazoa; Arthropoda; Insecta; Diptera; Tephritidae. The record is from RNAcentral.